UCUGCACCGAGCCUCUGAGUGCAGCGCUGCAGGAACCAGGCCUGCAGGCACAGCCCUCGGCUUGGGCUUGCAUCGCAAGGGCUCUUUUCCCUGGUGAUCAGCCAGGUGGUGUUCCCCAGCUGAGGCCAGUCCUGUGUCUCCAGGAGUGCUGUGCAAGAAGCCAGCGAGGGCGAUCGCUGCCUGUGUGCUCGGAGAGGAGAAAGAGCCUGAGCAAGGCACGCAGCCUCCACCCGGAGAGGCUGCAGCCACUCACAGGCUGAGGGUAAGGGAGCGUGAAGAAAGAUAAGGAGCUAAAAUGAGAAUAAAACGAAGGUGGUAGACGCAGCGCAGACGUCUAAUCAAAGGAAAUUCAUUAGUUUGUCAGGCAUAGGCAAUGGGAGCGGAGUCAGCAGCCCGGGAGGUUGAAUGCAGUCGCUAGCAGUGGAGCAGAGCAAAUGGAAAUUAAUUCUCCUUCUCCGUGCAGACUCAGACGGGGCCCAGCCGAGGCCCUGGGGCUGAAGGACCAGGACGGGUGCCUGGGCACGCCGCAGCUGCCCGUGCCCGGGGGAGCAGGGAGGGCCCCAGCCAGGAGCAAAUCGAGGUGCUGUGGUACUGGGGGUCGAAGCAGCCUGCAGCCCACUGCCCUCCGUCCCUCCACAGCAGCCCCUCCAUGCAGUGAAUCCCCCCGUGGGCACGUGCUGAGCCCAGGCUGCCUCCCUGCCUGCACGUCACCGGCACAGCCCUCGGCCUCGGUGGGAAUCGGUGCAUGAAUUACCCUGACAACACAGCAGAAGCGCUGGCAGAUUGAUGAUCGCACACCAAACCUUCGGGAGGUGACAGCAGAUUGCAAGCAGCUCCUGGCUCCCCGGUCUUUAAUAAGCAGCUGAGCACGAAGGCUGCAGUGCGAUAAGGAGAGGUUUGGCUUCACCUCCAGGUGCUGCAUCCCCUCGUCCUGCUCUGACCGUCACACACCGCUGUCCGGGGCCUCCUCGGAGGACGGGAGCACGAGCGACUCACCCCGGGAGCCCCAGCGAGGCCCUGCAAAUUAAUUAAGCUUUGCAGCCCCCCUGUGAGAUGCUAAGGUAAUUGCGAUGCUCAAGCCCUGGGAGGCCACACACCACCAGGCCCUUCUCGUUCCCUUCUUUCUUUAUGAGGCUGGUUUUGGAGGACAGACACCGAGAAAUGGAGAACCUGUGCACGCAACCACGCAGUCCUUUACAGGGAGGUGAAGCUGAGCUGUGGAAGCUGAGAACAGAUAUCUGCAAAAUAUCCAUCAAAAAGGAGAAAAAGGCCCUGCUUUCUGAGAGGGAAAUUAAUUUUGACAUCUUAAUUAUAAGCUGGAGGAAAGGUUGGUGCUGGAAUAGUGAGCUUUGAAGAUUAUUAUAUUGUCAUUAUUCAUUAAUGACUACUAAAGUAACUGGCUCUAAAUGGUAGUGGUAAAGUGUAAUGGCAGAUCUAUGAAGCUGCUCUUAUAUCCCCUUUGUUCCAAAGGAGUCCUUUACUAUUAGGCUGAUAACAAAAACCAGCAGCACUGAUAAGGCUUUGGCCCACAGUGACAUGUAUCGCUGUACAAACACCACCAGGGAAAAAAAAAAUCUAGAAAAUUGUUCUUGUUGUGUUUCAAGCAAUAAUUCUAACACUGAAUUAAAAUAAAAGAGGACUUUGAGAACUGCAGAUGUCAUAACGGAGAGGAAGGAUUGAAGGAAAAAAAUCUUAGGGCAAGGUGUCCCCCCAGUGCUCCUUGAGGAACGGUGGGAUUUGUGAAUGGCCUGAAAGCAGGACGGCCUCCGAAGCCUGCAAAACGGAGGGGAUGAAAAUCUCUCUGCGGAUCUCUGCUGAGCCCUAGGUACAUUUUUUGCCAAAUUCUUCAUCUACAAUAGCUGUAUCUGGAUGACCCCUCCCUCAAGGUGAAGUCUAUUCUGUCAGAACAUUAUUUGAUCUCUUCUGCUAAAAUGUAAAUUAACUUAAACUCGGUGUAAGGAGCUUAUUUCAGUAUAAGCUGUAAUUACUGCUGGGGCUAUAAAAAAAUCUUUCUUUAAAACUUUUAUCAAAGUUAUUCUGUGUUGUUAUUGCUUUCUGUGAUGUGUCUGGAUUUUCCAAACAGCAAAUAAUUCUGCACUUAUCUUAGUUCCUUUGAUAAUAUUUUUUAUGACAGAUCUUCUGCGACUCUAACUACAUUAUUAACAUUAAAGAAAGAAGAAUGGGGACAGUCUUUUCUAAAUAUGCCUGUAAAAAAUCUUGUGUGGCAUUGCUGCUGCUUAAACACUAGUCGUGGAAAAACAAGAAAUGCUCUUGCAGUGGGAUCGCUGUGACAGGAGGGGCCUGGAUGGCUGCUCCCCCCCGAUUUCUGCUUCACAGCCAGCCUCGGUGCUGUGAUGGCAAUAGGUUGUGUCUGAGAGACGGGAACAGGCUGCAGGACAGCCUUUAAAGUACUUGUGGGACUACUGGGGCCCGGUGCGUGGAAGGCAGUGGUUUGGAGGAGUGGGAAUCUGUUCCCAAGAAACCGGCUUCUCCCUCCGCGUUGGGUAGGGAAAUUCCCGUACAGAACAGGGAGGUUGCAGCGCUGCUCUGCCACCAGGACCGGCUCCUCCUCGUGUCCCCAGCUGCUCGUGCAGCUGAUACCCAGUUAUGAAAGUGUCUGGUGGAAAGGAGUCAGGAGGGAGCUGGGGAUUACAUUUAUCAGGCAGAGACUGGGGUAGGCUUUUGGGCCGUGUCAGCUAUCCCAAAUCCCUGCGAAUGGGGCUACGAAACUUGACAAGGCAGCUUCAGAUAUUUCAGAUCCCAUUAAAGAUGUAAAACCACUGACAGAGCUGAAACGCUUACAGAUGCUAACCCGGCUUCUCGUGAAGUCAUCUGACACCAGGGAGAAGGUUCAAGCAGAGGAUUUUAGCAAGCGAUCGUCAGAGACACGCAGAAGCGGAGUGUAACGGCUGAAUUGAUAAACACGGUAAGACUCGACAAAGCCAAUAGCUUCUGAAGUUUGAUUUGUUUUAGGUAAGCUCUGAGGAGGCGAUGUUUGCAACAGCAGGUUCUGUUCCUGUGAAUGAUUACGGGGUCACGGAUGGAAAGCUCUCCCUCUGGUACACAAGUGGACAAACAAGCGAGCCCAGUCUGAAAGAGCAAGAGACCAACCGGGUUUCCUAACGCCUGAAUUUUGUCUCGUUUGAGUCAAAAAGUACUUCCUGAUCUUGCAGCAGUCCCGAUUGUUCUGCAAAGCACUAAGCUCCAGACCCAGACCCAAACACUCCAUUACUACUUCCAGGCUCUAAAUCCAGCACACAGACUUCAAACCCGUGCUUGGCUGUGAUUCCCCGUGGCUGCGUGGCUCUCGGUUCGCUGCUCAGGCCUUUAUCCCCGCUUUGCAUUCGUCGGCAUCCCCAGCGCUUGAUCACACUGCUCCAAAGACACGUAGCGUGUGUCCCAGAGCGAGCAGCAGAGGGGUUUAGACUGUGGCUUUAUUCACAUUGACAAGUCCUCUUAGUUCAUUUCUUUGACUCUGCUAUACAGAAAGCUACAGUGGCAGCCAGCCGCGCUUAGAGCAGGCACAUGUGGAGCGAUCUCUGCAGUUCCUUCUCUGUUUGGUACCUCCUGACUUCAGCACGAGCUGCACAGGGAACAGCAAAGCAGAUGAGCGGUGCUUGAGAGCCCAUCGCUGCAUGCUCUGUGUGUGUCUCCAUUACAAGUGCUGAUGGGGGCUGUUUCCCCUCUUGCAGCAGUGCCUUGUUUGUUGUUCUCUCCCCCCAUUUUUUAUUAUUUUUUUUUCCAGAUGGAGGACAGCUAAACACCCUGCCACUGCACAACGCCCCUGAGCGCAGGAGCAGACUCGUCAGUUGUCCACGCUUUUCACCUGCUGGUAGAAAUGCCCAUAUUGAGCAAGCACAACAACUAUUGGUUUUUUAAACAUGUUCCCCAUAGCAAUGAUCUGUCUAUACACCAGCCUCCUUUCAUAGAGGCUUCUUUCAUUUUAUAAGCAUUAGUUUAAAGGAACUCAUGUUCUUUCAGGAAUGAAAUAUUGUUGGAUAUGCAGCUGGGAAAUUGAGGCAUGCUGAAGGUAUGACUGGAAUUAAUUUACUGUAACAUCUUAGCCAAAGCACAGUAAAUUCCCAGACCACUGCUCCUGUUGUUUGAAAACUUAACGUGAUUGUUUAUGAGAGUCAUUCAGUGCCUAUUGUAUGUAAUGAUCACUAAUUAAUAUCUGCAAUGCCCAAGGGUGUUUUUUAUUUUCGGAAGGGGGCAGAGAUAGGAGAGAAAGACAAAGUGAUGUAUGAAUGCUGCUGUUGCUGGUAUUGCCUCUUGCGUGCGUGCUGUGGCGGUGGCAUGUACUAAACAGAAGGACAGAGUGGCCUCGUAUCGCUGAGGUGUUGCUUGGUGCUGAUCUGCAGCCUGCUGGGGCUGAUCCGUUUUCUCAGGUGAGCAGUCCAGACACUGGGGCUUAGUCAGCCCUGGUUGACACAGAUCUCUAUUAAGACGUGGGUUUAUUCUCUGGGCUUUUUUGAAUUGUGACAAAAUUCACAUAAGAUUUGCUUGCAAAGCAGCUUUUGCUGCCAUCCUGAGUUAAUUUAUGAUGCGUUUAAAACUUUACCAUUAGAUAACUGUAUCCUAGGGUAACGCAAUUUUCAAAUAGACAAUCCUGGAUUUGUCUGCCCACAGCAUAGCAAGCGGCUGGCUUUGAACCACUCUACCCAACUGUGAUUUGUUUAGGCUUCCUCAGAGACACUUUGCUUACUGAAUAAUUUGUUACCCCAUGCUUGAGAUGAGUGCUUCUCUUCGAGAGGAGCACUGUGCCUGCUGCUCCUCCCUGGCAAGUAUUUUUGUUUGCCGUCAGUGCAGGGCAGUCACCCAUCAUCGCUGGUUCUCCCAAAAGUCCUGAGAGCAGUGCACUCAGAUGGUAUUGGUGUGAGACGGAGCUGCUGCACGCCCAGUCCCGUGGAGGUCAGGCAGUAUCACGCUUCUGCACAGGCAAAUAGCUCUGCAUGGGUGCAACUUGCUUUCAUUUUGUCCUUGCUGAAGGUGGAACUGUGCCUAUUUUGUGUGUGUUGCAUGAGCAUUGGGCUGGGUGUCUUCCCUUUGAACACAGGACUGACAAAUUGCAUGCAGCACAGGCAGUUGCAUUGCAAGCGCUGGGCACUGGGAGAACGACUCUGUAGGAGUCCAAAUGUAGCACCACAAUUCCCUUUCUGUCCUCUCCAAGAAAGCCUCUUCACACUCUAAUUAAACAGCAGUUUGACAUGUUUUUGCAGUUUUGAUUGCCUUUGAACUUUGGCAGUGUGAUAAACAAACGUCGCUUCCCUGCCUACCAGGAAGAUGCUGCUCCUUGAAGCAGUUUCUUGCCUUGGUUCUGGUACAGCAGAGCUCAGCACCGUGUUUGCACGGCAUCGUUUGUGAGCUGCUGCCAACAGCAGAGAAGGAUGGCAGCUGCCAUGGCCUGAUGUGAUGAACUGGAGAUGCCGGAGCGCUGUUUUUGCUUUGAUGGCCCCUUUUAGCUAGUCGAGAUUUCAAACGCUGGUGCUCGGUAAACACUUAAUUCUUCACAGCGCAGGAGGCUGGGGCUGGCGGCGCACAGCCCGCUCCUUCUGAUCGCUGCGAGGCGGUGCAGACGCCUCACACGUCUGUGAGCUGCAGUAAUUAGAGGGGAGAAGGAAGGCAGGACGAACGUACUCAUCGUCACGUGGCAUAAAUGAGAAUUAAAAUUGUCAGUCAGUUCUCUGAGCAGUUUGCUCACGUUUUGGAGUUUGUUAGCGACAGAAGUAGAGCUGAAUUCAGACAGGCAAAUGCCACGGGCACAAAGCAUAAAAUGAAGGGCUAUAAUGGAAGUGGGUUUGAGAGCACUGAUCUCAGCACAGAUUCUUGGAGCUGUCUUUGCUGAUACCUAUGAAGUAAAUAAAGCCUUCGGUUUAAGCGAUUCAGACUCAUUAAAUUACUUUGGAUUUCACUGAGGUAUUAGUUUCUGUCUAAGAACUCAUUCCCGGAAUAUUUUCCAUGGCAGAUUCCUUCAAAGGUGGCAGACUGACACAAAUCCUCAAAAUGCCAGUCUGAUCGCUCUGCUCUGUACCUCCCCAUCAUGUUUUCAGUUUCGAAAAUGCCUGGUUGGGUUUAAUUUCCUGGUAGGGACAUACGGAGGUAAGGCCAGCCAGUUUUGUGUGUGUGUGUGUGUGUGUGGCUAAUGAGGUUUGUUAACAUAUUGCAACGUGUCUCAGUUAGCAAUUAAAUUGGAAGUCAGAAGUGAGAAUAUAAAAACCUUCAUGUGCUUAAUGGUAAAUUAACCGUUUGCUUUCACAUGUGCAGGAUAUAUUGACGCACACAGAUAUAUGCAUAUGUGACUACGUCAGAGUAGGACUCGGGGAGGGUUAAUGUUUGAGGGCUUGGCACUGCUCCAUUCCCAGGAGUUUGUGGAGGGGAAGCGGGACAGUGGGGAGGAAGCAGCGAGGCAGAAACCCCCCGGCACAGCUCAGGGGCAGCAUCCCUGAACCUUGAGGGAGCGUAGAGCAGGACGAACGAUGAAGUGUGACGUGAAAUAAAAACGCUGUGAGGGGAAAAGCGCUGUGAGGGUCAUUGUAGGUGGCCAUACAACGCCUUUCCACGUGAGAAAAGGAUAAAGGAUAAAAAUUGUGGCAGAGGCUGAGGCUGGGCGUGCACAGGCCCUGCUGAGGGGACCCCUCCCCUCAGGCCCCUCAGGGCUGCGGGCGGGGGGCGGGGCCUCGCCGU
Anas platyrhynchos (mallard) is the source of this 6684-nucleotide non-coding RNA. The record is from RefSeq and is a predicted model, not a curated record. Lineage: Eukaryota; Metazoa; Chordata; Aves; Anseriformes; Anatidae.